RNAcentral lists this ribosomal RNA (408 nucleotides) under Triticum aestivum (bread wheat). RNAcentral describes it as "partial small subunit ribosomal RNA". Lineage: Eukaryota; Viridiplantae; Streptophyta; Magnoliopsida; Poales; Poaceae. The record is from RNAcentral.
CCGCUGCUACCCAGUACGACUACGGUGUUGACAACCACUCUCUCUUGCCAGAGCAACCAGACGUUGGAAUCCAGGAGCCAGACGCCACCGUUGAUGAUGACUACUACUACUCAGGAGGUGCCUACUACUACGUGUAGCCCGCUGACGACGACCGGGAGUAGUUUAGGAGGAUCCCAGGCAGGAGGCCUGCGCCUCUUUUGAUCUGUAUCCCAGUUUGUGCUAGCCUUCUUAAGGCAAACUUGUUUAACUUAUGUCUGUACUCAGAUAUUGUUGUUUCCGCUGACUCGUCUAUGAUCGAGCUCUUGUAUUCGAGCCCUCGAGGCCCCUGGCUUGUAAUAUGAUGCUUGUAUGACUUAUUUUAUUUGUAGAGUUGUGUUCUGAUAUCUUCCCAUGAGUUCCUGAUCUUGA